Molecule: long non-coding RNA, 6285 nt
Organism: Apis cerana (Asiatic honeybee)
Lineage: Eukaryota; Metazoa; Arthropoda; Insecta; Hymenoptera; Apidae
Source: RefSeq, a predicted model, not a curated record
GGGGGUGAGGGAAGAGGGAGGGAAAGAGAGAGAAAGAGAGGGAGAUACGUUCAUACGUAGAUAGUAUAUGCGCUGUGUUGCCUAUCCGCCAUGGGUAUUGGAUUGGAUUGGAUCGCCGCGUCAGCAAUACAAACACUCGAAGCCUCGAUGUGGGUCGGCCUCUCCCGUUCCUGUUUCAAACUGAAAUUACACUUUCCCGACCGACCCCGUCGUACCCCGAAGCCCCCCCUUCUUCUAUCUAGCUCCAUUUUCCCUUCACGUUGUAGUUUUUCUCUCGUCAUCAACAGCGUCGAAGAUUUUACCAAAGUUCUUCAUCGAAUCUAACUCUAACUAAACGUUAACAGUAACAACACGAGUAGAAUCAAGAAUCUUGCAUGAGACAUGGAGUUGAGAUGAAAUGACAAGACAAUAGAUUUUUGGAAUCACAAUCUCAUCAGAUUUCAAAAAUCGUGAUCGAAAGACUUAGGAUAAAGAAAGAAAUUUAACUUUCUAAUAUGGAUUUUAAUUAGCGAUGGUGCUGGAAUUGUAAGGUGGAGAGAUAAUUUUUAUGAAGAGAGGAAUCAGAAGCGACCGGUUAGCCAAGGUUUCCGUCCAAAGGAUUAGAAAUUAAAGGCGAGUCGGUGAAUUCGAGAUAUAAAUUUUCUCUCCAGCGGUUGAGAGUGAAAAAGAGUUGUGCGACCGCGGCACGGGAAUCGAAACCCUUUAGCCUCCGCUUUCCUCGAGAGGCGAGACCAACCGACUAACUCGAAUGAAAAGGCACCAGUGCUGGUAAGAGACACUUCGUACACGCUCCUGCUGGCGUGUAUCCGAGCACAAAAAAAGAAGAGAAAGAAAAGGAAAUGGAGAAAGAGAGAAAAGAGACGAAGAGGAAGGAGAAGACGCUUAUUUAGCUUACCUUUUACUUACACGUGCUAUACAAUGUUUACCUACACCCACCUAAGCAUAUAAGACUGGAGGGACUGCUUGAGAGGAAUAAUGUUUGCGUAAGAAGAACGGAUAGCGAUUUCGAUAUUUAAAAAGAAAAAGGGAAAACGCCAAGGUUGCCAUACUGGUGACUUUCAAAUCAGGAUAAGAUUCGAAUGUUUGAAACGAAUAGAAUUGAUAAAGCUUACUUUUCUUCCUGGAUUGAAUCCAAAGAAGUUUUCUCAUCUUCAUCAGAACAUCAUUUUUUUUUCUAAAUUUCUGAAACCUCGAUAUCAAAAGACUCUACGAUUUCGUACCGAUACUAUAUCACUUGUUUCAAAAACAUCUCACAAGGGAAAAGAGUGCUGGGGAGAAAUACAAAGAAAAAGAGAAAAAAAAGGAGAAGAAGAAAGAUGGACAUAUUCUAUCCAAAUGUGGCGCAACUACCUGACGACAAGAACAAUGAAAGAGCAAAGAGCGUGCGUUCCCCAUCGUGGCUGGUAGCCGUGUACAAGAUGGCGCCAGGCAGGCCGGAGGCCAGAGUACCACUCGGGCGAUUUCCGGUGGCUUUGUUCCACGUACCACUCGUACACGGGGUGUAUUCGAUGAAACUCGAGGCUUAAAGGCGCGUUUUUCAGCCACGCUACCAGCUUACGUGCGUGCGCGCGAGAUAUAAAGAGGUUUUUCUUCUAUGAAGCCAGUUAGCCAACGAACCGGUAAUUCCUCCGACCGCCUUCUUCCUUCUCUCCACACGGGCUCCUCUCGCUUUCUCCCUCUUUAUUUCUCUCUGUACGUGCUCCUCUCCGUAGCCCCCUUCAACUUCCUCUUUUCGCACGCUCCCGACUUCAACUUCUUCCCCUUCUUCUUCUUCUUCUCCUUCUCCUUCUUCUUCGUCUUUCUCCCUACCUCUUUUUCCUCUUCCGUUCUUUCGCCGUGCUUCUUCCCUUUCUUCUCCCGCCCUUUGCUGUUUGCCCGCAUUCAUUCUCGCCUUUGCCAGACCCGUGGAAAAGAAGAAACGAGCCGGGUGCAACUCAAGAUUUCCCCUACUCCCUGGACCGCCACCCUCUUCCUCUUUCUCUCUUAGCGUUUUCCUGUUCCUCUUUUUAGUCGCCGGUAAUGGAGGCCCUCGAACGCCGGCCCUUCUAGCGCCUCGACGAGCCUGCCUCGGCGAAACGAAACGAAACGAAACGAGAGACGAGACACGUUUACCCCCACCCUCGACGAAUGACUUUUACUUUCUUCCUCCAUUCGUAGUUGAGCUCCGUUUUCCUGUUUCUGUCGGCCACGGUGAUUCGUUCGAGAGGAAAAUACGAACUUCUCUCUCUUUCGUCGGAAAACCAGCGUUGCUGGUUCACAUAUUGCUUCAAAGAUUUGUCAAUUUUUUAUUUCUUUUUUACAUGGCUUAAUAAUCGUUAUAAAACUUAUAUAUUUUUAUAAGAUAAUUUUAUAUGCAUUAAUCAUAUUUAUAUAAAAUAAUUGUAGAAUUAUUAAAAUUCAUAUUGACAAAAUCUACAUCACGAUUCUGAAUAUUGUAUAGGAUAUUCAUCGAUGAUUAUCGGAAUCCGCAACGCCGCUUUGGACAUUUGCCAAUGCGUUCGUGGCCCUUUGAUUGUAUCGAAAUCCACAUUGAGAUUUUAUCGAUUUAUACCAUGGCCGUCAAUUCGUAAUUAUUACUGAAAUUUUCGAUUGGAUUUGAAAUAUUUUGCGGUUUUGUAAUUAUCAUUCGUACGUUGAAUUUUCACCGUUUUACAGCAUUAUUUAAAUUUUAUUCGAUAUUGUAACAUUAAAAAACGGAAGAUUAGAUAUUUUAUGACAGAUACAAAAUUUUUACAAUAAUUUUACAACAUAUUUUUUUUUCUUCGUCAAAAAUUUUCAUAUGUCAAACAACUUUCAAAUAUCAAAUGAAUUAAACAAUUAUCAAUCAAAAAUGAAAAAAAAAAUAAAGAAAAAGAAAAAAGAAAACGCCCACAACGAAGAACUUGGCCCUGCAGCGUUUCGUUCUCCGGAUAUUUUAGCUUCGUCGAGGCGGCCGUAGAACUAGAGGGUACACGGGGAGCAGAGUGGGGGUACAGAGACGCGGAGGUGGGAGAAGGUACGCGCAGAAAGGUGGGACACAGCGGUCGGCGGAGAGGUUGAAGGGGCAGGAGGAAAAGGGCGAAGAUCGAAGAAGGAUGGAGAGAAACACUUGACCCUGCCUGGCUGGUUGCCGCACAGCCGAUGCUGUGCCAGCAAACCCCACCGUGCAACGUGCGUUAAUAAACGCAACGUUGGUGUGUUGGUCCCUCGUCUGUGUCCUCCUCCCGACCCUCGACCCUUUCUCUUUCCAGCCCUCCGCAAACCUCACCCUCGUAUCCUCGUAUCCUUGUUUAAUUCAUAUGACGUACGCCUACCGCGUUGGGUGAUCUCGCUCAAUUCGCGCAUGCGCACUAACGAAUCACGAUACACAGCACGCGUGUGUGGCGCCACGAAGCAAGCGCACAUAUACAUACAAGGGGGAGGCAAUGGGAGUAGAUCGGUCGCGCGCAAGUAACGUGUUGACUCUCGCGAUCGCGUAGCUCCUAAUUUAUUUACAAUUUCGCGAAGGGGGAGCCGGAUUGAUUUGAGCCCCAUCCACCGAUGAGAUCCAAUACCGGGCCGCGGAGUAGCCGCCAAUGCAAGCUUCGCCGUAAUUCGCUGGCCGUUUAAUUGCGCGCCAACCUAGACGACGAUUGCAUCGUUCGAUGGUGAUUAACGAACUUUUUGUACGUGUGUACUUGAAUCAUGGAUUACUACACCUUUGACAAUAUAUUUCCAAAAGAUAUAAAAUUUUCAUUUUUUAAAGUUCGAGAACGCAUCACGAAGAAAUUUUAAUUUAAAUUUAAUUAGUAAAUUUUAUUAGUUUAUAGCAAAUACUCCUUACUAUAUGUUAUAUAUAUAUUCUAUUAUAUAUAUAAUUUUAAAUGCAUAUCUCUAAAUACAAAAUAUCUAGUGACAUUUAAUUGAUGACUAAAAAUAAUAAUUAAUCACUAGCUAACUAAUUCUUGAUUAUAAUUAUAUUCUUAAAAAAAAAAGACACAAAACACUUCUUAAACACUUCUUAACAAUCGGAAUAAGCAAGCUUAGCACUAAUAAAAGCCGAAAUGCAAGAGUCGCGUGACAUUUCGCGAGGUCCCGUGACUGAGCAACCCAGCCAAGAAAAUAUUCCUAGCUGUAAGAACGGUGUAUCUAGACGUAACAAAGAGAGCGUUAUAAGACGAAGCAUUAGAGAAAAGAAGAAAGAAAUAUGCAGAAGCACUCGUGUCAGAGGCGACCAAUAAAUUUAUCGAGCGGGUGUUGGCAUGGAGACUGCCGGACAGAGCUCGGUUGGAUGGCCCAGAGGGCGAUGAGAGGGUACUCGAGAAUCCUCCAGGAGCCCGGCACGGGGAAAUUGGAGGCAGCCACGGCGGCGGCCAGGAGGAGGAACAUAGAAAAGAGAGAUAGAGAGUGCGAGGAGGAAGAGGAGGAGAACGUACCGAGGAAAGACGAAGGCAGAGACUGAAACGAAGAAGGAGAACUCUCAAACUGGAGGGAAGGGGGCUGAGGUAUCGAUUUCUCGCGGUGAUCCAAUCAACGAUGGUGCCUUAUCUGACGCCUUUGCCACCCGCUUUAACACAUCGAUAUCUCUGAUAAGAAAGGGCCUUUCCGAAUUAAUUCCUCUUCUUCCUCCUUUUUAUUUUAUUAAUUUCUAAAGUAAAGUAUCGAUCUUUAUAAUUGCGUAUAUACAAAACCGAUCGAUUUUUAUCAAUUUGAUAGAAAUUUCUAAAAAAAGAAAAAAAAUUCCUUGGAUAAAUAGCUUUAAAACACGUAUAUUUCAGGUAAUGUAAUUGAUUCCUCAAAUUAAAAAUGUAUCUAGUCGAAGACGGAAUCGAUACACAUCCGGUGGAAUUACAAGAUGCAGCCAAUAUUCAACGAGCCAGCCAGCCAGCCAGCCAGCCAACCAGUCUCUAGCUGUCUUUAAUCCAUGGUAAUCUUUAAUUCAUUAACGACAUUAAUUAUUCAUCGCCGAUAACGACGAUGGAAUCGCUGAUCGUCGCCCCUUCUCGACCAUCACCACUACCAACCAAGCCUCGCCGCAUGCCACGUCUGCGAGAUGUUCCAACUCGAAAGGCAGAUCCUUUGUUAUUUUCCCAGCUUCUCUUGGAUAAAUCGUACUGGUGCAAUUGUAACGCUGGGACCAGAACGAGAGAGCAGGACGUUUUCACGUGGACGUUUCGUGUGUACGAAAUGGCUAAUCCCUCUGACAUUGUUCCGAAACAAUACGAUAUCCGUCUCUAAUUUGUACCGCCUUCAACGGUUGCUCCUCUUUCGCGUUAUACAUGAAGACCGACCGGCUGACAGAGUCAAUAUUUUCACUCUCCAGCCCCCCUCCACGAAGGAGACGGAAUAUCGGCGAAACGUUUUGGUUCGCGUAAAAGAGAAGAAAAACGCGGAUAUCUGCAUAGCUGGCUCCGUCGCUUGCGUUGCGUGCUUGCUCAGCCGUUUUGCAUUAUCUUAUGUGCAGCGUCCUUGUUCCAAAAGACUUUAUCCUAUUCUUAAAGUCUUUGGGGAAAGAUUGAUUGUUUGGUAAAAUUAUCAUAAAUGUCUGUACGUCACGAAUACAUGUUUUCAUGAUCGCGAGAGAUUAUUCCAAAAACUUUUUUCAGGGUUAUAUAUUGUUUCCGGGAUAGCUCGAGGAGACAAGAUGCCGCGAAAAACAAGCGGUGGAAAUCGCGUCAAUGACGGAAGUAACAGAGACGAGCCACCAGUGAGAGUGUUUGAGUCGCUCUCGCGGGACCUAUGUCGGUCCAACUGGUUCUACGUUUGAUUUGAGGGAGGCAAGAGGGAGUUGGGGUAAAAAACGAGUAGGGAGGAAAGAGAGGGAACGAAAGCAGAGGAGCGAAAGAGUAGUGCGCUCGGCGUUGUAGGACUCUCCGCUGGAGAGCCCUCCCUCUCUCUCGCCCGCUUAAAGCCCUAUCCACUACUCAUUUAUCAAAUAAAUCAACACAGCUACUUGUGCACCUGUGAAGAGAUCCAACCGCGACCCGUGCCGUCCAAAAGCCCGUGGCAAUCCGGUAAAUCGAUUUCUUCUAAGAAGUUGGAAAUUAAGAAAUCAAGAAAGAAUAUUUGUCUAACGAAAAUAUUUCUUCCGAUUGAAUCGUUUUUCACCAAGAUUCGUGAAAAAAUUGGUGACGAAAGAAUCUGUUGACGAAAGUAGUUGAGAAAUUUAACAAGAAGAGAUUAUCACAGAAAUAUUUAGAGAAAUGGAAAGAGUAAACAAUUUUAUCGCGAUAUCAAUCUUUUUCUUCGUCCCCUUUUUGUAGAUCAAUCAGAGGUGGAAAGACGCGAGAAGAAUGGGAGUACGAGUAGCAGGGAAGUGGGAGGGAA